GGGUUGUGAGGUUAAGCGACUAAGCGUACACGGUGGAUGCCCUGGCAGUCAGAGGCGAUGAAGGACGUGCUAAUCUGCGAUAAGCGUCGGUAAGGUGAUAUGAACCGUUAUAACCGGCGAUUUCCGAAUGGGGAAACCCAGUGUGAUUCGUCACACUAUCAUUAACUGAAUCCAUAGGUUAAUGAGGCGAACCGGGGGAACUGAAACAUCUAAGUACCCCGAGGAAAAGAAAUCAACCGAGAUUCCCCCAGUAGCGGCGAGCGAACGGGGAGGAGCCCAGAGCCUGAAUCAGUGUGUGUGUUAGUGGAAGCGUCUGGAAAGGCGCGCGAUACAGGGUGACAGCCCCGUACACAAAAAUGCACAUGCUGUGAGCUCGAUGAGUAGGGCGGGACACGUGGUAUCCUGUCUGAAUAUGGGGGGACCAUCCUCCAAGGCUAAAUACUCCUGACUGACCGAUAGUGAACCAGUACCGUGAGGGAAAGGCGAAAAGAACCCCGGCGAGGGGAGUGAAAAAGAACCUGAAACCGUGUACGUACAAGCAGUGGGAGCACGCUUCGGCGUGUGACUGCGUACCUUUUGUAUAAUGGGUCAGCGACUUAUAUUCUGUAGCAAGGUUAACCGAAUAGGGGAGCCGAAGGGAAACCGAGUCUUAACUGGGCGUUAAGUUGCAGGGUAUAGACCCGAAACCCGGUGAUCUAGCCAUGGGCAGGUUGAAGGUUGGGUAACACUAACUGGAGGACCGAACCGACUAAUGUUGAAAAAUUAGCGGAUGACUUGUGGCUGGGGGUGAAAGGCCAAUCAAACCGGGAGAUAGCUGGUUCUCCCCGAAAGCUAUUUAGGUAGCGCCUCGUGAAUUCAUCUCCGGGGGUAGAGCACUGUUUCGGCAAGGGGGUCAUCCCGACUUACCAACCCGAUGCAAACUGCGAAUACCGGAGAAUGUUAUCACGGGAGACACACGGCGGGUGCUAACGUCCGUCGUGAAGAGGGAAACAACCCAGACCGCCAGCUAAGGUCCCAAAGUCAUGGUUAAGUGGGAAACGAUGUGGGAAGGCCCAGACAGCCAGGAUGUUGGCUUAGAAGCAGCCAUCAUUUAAAGAAAGCGUAAUAGCUCACUGGUCGAGUCGGCCUGCGCGGAAGAUGUAACGGGGCUAAACCAUGCACCGAAGCUGCGGCAGCGACACUAUGUGUUGUUGGGUAGGGGAGCGUUCUGUAAGCCUGUGAAGGUGUACUGUGAGGUAUGCUGGAGGUAUCAGAAGUGCGAAUGCUGACAUAAGUAACGAUAAAGCGGGUGAAAAGCCCGCUCGCCGGAAGACCAAGGGUUCCUGUCCAACGUUAAUCGGGGCAGGGUGAGUCGACCCCUAAGGCGAGGCCGAAAGGCGUAGUCGAUGGGAAACAGGUUAAUAUUCCUGUACUUGGUGUUACUGCGAAGGGGGGACGGAGAAGGCUAUGUUGGCCGGGCGACGGUUGUCCCGGUUUAAGCGUGUAGGCUGGUUUUCCAGGCAAAUCCGGAAAAUCAAGGCUGAGGCGUGAUGACGAGGCACUACGGUGCUGAAGCAACAAAUGCCCUGCUUCCAGGAAAAGCCUCUAAGCAUCAGGUAACAUCAAAUCGUACCCCAAACCGACACAGGUGGUCAGGUAGAGAAUACCAAGGCGCUUGAGAGAACUCGGGUGAAGGAACUAGGCAAAAUGGUGCCGUAACUUCGGGAGAAGGCACGCUGAUAUGUAGGUGAAGCGACUUGCUCGUGGAGCUGAAAUCAGUCGAAGAUACCAGCUGGCUGCAACUGUUUAUUAAAAACACAGCACUGUGCAAACACGAAAGUGGACGUAUACGGUGUGACGCCUGCCCGGUGCCGGAAGGUUAAUUGAUGGGGUUAGCGGUAACGCGAAGCUCUUGAUCGAAGCCCCGGUAAACGGCGGCCGUAACUAUAACGGUCCUAAGGUAGCGAAAUUCCUUGUCGGGUAAGUUCCGACCUGCACGAAUGGCGUAAUGAUGGCCAGGCUGUCUCCACCCGAGACUCAGUGAAAUUGAACUCGCUGUGAAGAUGCAGUGUACCCGCGGCAAGACGGAAAGACCCCGUGAACCUUUACUAUAGCUUGACACUGAACAUUGAGCCUUGAUGUGUAGGAUAGGUGGGAGGCUUUGAAGUGUGGACGCCAGUCUGCAUGGAGCCGACCUUGAAAUACCACCCUUUAAUGUUUGAUGUUCUAACGUUGACCCGUGAUCCGGGUUGCGGACAGUGUCUGGUGGGUAGUUUGACUGGGGCGGUCUCCUCCUAAAGAGUAACGGAGGAGCACGAAGGUUGGCUAAUCCUGGUCGGACAUCAGGAGGUUAGUGCAAUGGCAUAAGCCAGCUUGACUGCGAGCGUGACGGCGCGAGCAGGUGCGAAAGCAGGUCAUAGUGAUCCGGUGGUUCUGAAUGGAAGGGCCAUCGCUCAACGGAUAAAAGGUACUCCGGGGAUAACAGGCUGAUACCGCCCAAGAGUUCAUAUCGACGGCGGUGUUUGGCACCUCGAUGUCGGCUCAUCACAUCCUGGGGCUGAAGUAGGUCCCAAGGGUAUGGCUGUUCGCCAUUUAAAGUGGUACGCGAGCUGGGUUUAGAACGUCGUGAGACAGUUCGGUCCCUAUCUGCCGUGGGCGCUGGAGAACUGAGGGGGGCUGCUCCUAGUACGAGAGGACCGGAGUGGACGCAUCACUGGUGUUCGGGUUGUCAUGCCAAUGGCACUGCCCGGUAGCUAAAUGCGGAAGAGAUAAGUGCUGAAAGCAUCUAAGCACGAAACUUGCCCCGAGAUGAGUUCUCCCUGACUCCCUGAGAGUCCUGAAGGAACGUUGAAGACGACGACGUUGAUAGGCCGGGUGUGUAAGCGCAGCGAUGCGUUGAGCUAACCGGUACUAAUGAACCGUGAGGCUUAACCUUACAACGCCGAAG
This 2926-nucleotide ribosomal RNA is filed under the name Escherichia coli. RNAcentral describes it as "partial 23S ribosomal RNA". It matches the Rfam family "Bacterial large subunit ribosomal RNA". Lineage: Bacteria; Pseudomonadati; Pseudomonadota; Gammaproteobacteria; Enterobacterales; Enterobacteriaceae. The record is from RNAcentral.